Molecule: long non-coding RNA, 1083 nt
Organism: Paramisgurnus dabryanus
Lineage: Eukaryota; Metazoa; Chordata; Actinopteri; Cypriniformes; Cobitidae
Source: RefSeq, a predicted model, not a curated record
UUUCACAAUAACUGCUUCUCAUGAACCGAAGCUGGAUUUGCACGACGUCUCCUCUUGAAAGUUGGAUUACUGUGCACUUCUGGAUCACAGGCUGUAAGUAUUCACGUUUAUUAUUUGCCUUUUACUGUACGUUACGUAACCGGAGAUUAACAUAAUGUGCGUGUAGAGCUAAGCUUGCAAGCUAAUUGUUUUGUGUUGUAAUACUGUAUUUCAUAAACAACGUACCAUAUUUACACACGUGUAUGUUGAAUUAUGCAGACUAUCGUUUUUUUAUCGAUGUUGGUUUAGACAUGUUUACAAACUUGCUAAGUUGCUAAGCUAAAUACAAAUACAAAUGCCAGCUAAACUGUUACCAGUAAAAUUUGUUCUCAUGAUCAAACUCAAGAAACUCUAAGUACAGAUGAUUUGUUUAAAGUUAUAUGUAUUUUACUGUUGUAUUUACUUGAAGCUUUCUUAGAUUUUGAAACGAAGUAAACUGGUAAUGUGUGUUGCUAAUGUUGGGCCAUGUAAUAUGUAAUACAUUAACGUUUUAAUGAAUAGUCUAACGAUUUAUAGUCAUGGUACUCUAUUGUUAUAAUAUGUCUUUUUGACUGAAUACAUGUUUGUUUUAUUUGUCUAUAUCCUAGAUUCGCAGCUGGACACAUCCUUCUACAAUGUAUGCAAACAUGCAACAUCAUAACACACAGUACAAGGAGUCAGACUGGCAUAUGAGGAGCAAAGGAACCCAGGCAGUAGCAUCGUUUCACAAUGUUUCCAUCACCAUCAUCAGUGGAUGCCUUUGCCGUCCGUAGCCUGAGAUUUCAGAUUUGCAGCAAAAAAAAUUUGAUUUUCUCAUUUAUUGGAAUGCUAUGCAGGUAUUUGUACCUUGCAGCCAUCCAUUACAAUGUCACCAAGCCGUAACAAAAGCAGGAGAGGGAAAGUACAAGGCUAUGUUCCCAAAACACACAAGUGACAUACCUUAUGUGGAGGAUGUGAUCAGGCUUGUGUUUGAUGAGGUAUUUGAAGAUAAGCUGAAGGAAACCCCGAUUCCAAUGGACCUGGCAUCACAGUUUGAGAGACCUUCAAAGGAGGAUGUGAUUGCAU